Molecule: non-coding RNA, 205 nt
Organism: Caenorhabditis elegans
Lineage: Eukaryota; Metazoa; Nematoda; Chromadorea; Rhabditida; Rhabditidae
Source: Ensembl
CUCUCAGUUUCCAUCAUCUCACAAUACCAACAAAUGAAGUUUGCGAAGAAAUUCGCACAUCUAUGAAAAAGUGGAAGGGUGCCAAGAUGGAGAGAGAGAAAAAAGAAAUAAAGAGGGGUGGAGCUGGUUUUUUUUGGGGCUGCUCUCUCCAAUUUGCACAAAGUAUUCCGAAUUGGCUUACUUCCAAUCGCCCCCAUCGAAUUUA